This is a long non-coding RNA of Canis lupus familiaris (dog), 592 nucleotides long. RefSeq lists it as uncharacterized. The record is from RefSeq and is a predicted model, not a curated record. The transcript has 3 exons. NCBI's taxonomy places the organism in Eukaryota, Metazoa, Chordata, Mammalia, Carnivora, Canidae.
UCCUGAAAGCCCAGAUCUCUUCAAAAGUGCCACAUAUCACCCAGACAAAUAAAAGCUGCAGAUGGUGGCGGGAUGGCAGCUGUUAAGACUGUGAGCACACUGGCCUCUGUAGAGCUUCUCAGCACAGUCUUUUAAUAGCAUUUUCCAUGCUGGUGGAAAGACCAUGAAAUGCCUUCAAGCCUUUUUGGGAGGAAAGCGGUAUUUUAAAGAAGUUAAAAGAUUCCAGGAAAGACUGAGCAAAUUGGUGCUGCUUGACAUUGGAAACUAAGGCCAGAUGCCAGAAGCCACAACCUUCAAACAAGCCCCCAUGACCCAGUUUUCAACAGGUUUGAUCCAGUUUAGAUACAGAGUCAACCCUCCAGAAAACCUCAAGAUCAUCAGUAUCUAAUUAUAAUAACAAAAAUCACACCUACCAGCACCAGUGACAGAUCCUACUGCACCCACUUAAGGGGUGGCCUUACAAACCUCCUUACCUUAGCCCCACAAAACCCUGACCAUGAGACCUAAUCAGGGGGAAGAUGCCCUUGGAACACAAGCUUCCCUUCUCUGUUCCUUCUCUGGCCAUUGAAUAAAUUACCUGCUUGCCAUCAAA